AGAACAUAUAAUAUAUCUAUAAGUCUUGGUGUAUGUUAGAAUGGUUAAUAUAUUAAUUUAAAGAGAGUGGAUUUAAGAAACUUUAUUUUGAAUUUUAUCUUUUUUGAUUAUAAUAUUUUAAAAAAUUAUAAGACCUAAAUGUUUAGUAUGAAGCCUAGAGAAGAGAUUAGAGUCUAAAGAAAAAAAUCUUAACUAGUAGGAGGCUUAUUGGGAGGGAUGAAAGUAAGGUAUGGUUGGAUGAAGAUAAGGAAUGAGAAUCUUCAUUCCUAUUGGUCGAAGGCCAUACCCAAUGGGCUUCAAGGAGGCUAUCCGAGGCCUUAUUAGAGAUUAGGGUUUCUUUUUCAAAGUUAUUUGAGCUUUGGAAGCUAGGAUCAGCAAGUUAGGAAUUUUGGAUACAAAUUGGGUGUAAAUUUUGUAUGAUUUGGAGUUUUUAUGAAGGAUUUAUUGGCACUCAAAGUUAAAGUGUCAAUUUCAUACCUAUUGUCACUCUUUGGGGCAUAACAUAUAUUUAUAGAAAGCAACAAAAGAUUGGCAAUUAGAAUUGCAGAGAAUACUAUUUUGACUAUACUUUUAAUAUUCUAUUU
This 584-nucleotide long non-coding RNA is filed under the name Physcomitrium patens. Its description in RNAcentral is "long non-coding RNA (PPAT_LNC004911)". The record is from RNAcentral. Lineage: Eukaryota; Viridiplantae; Streptophyta; Bryopsida; Funariales; Funariaceae.